AUUUAUGGAUACAUUGUUCGAAGAAAACUGGUACGAGAAAUAAUGACCACUUUAGACCCUAAAGGAAUGUCCAGAAGGAAAGGCAAUAAACUUAAAAGAAGGCAGUACCUCAGUAAAGGUCCAAAUUGGAUAUGGCAUAUAGACCAGUAUGAUAAGUUGAGUCCAUACGGAAUACACAUCAGUGGCUGUAUUGAUGGGU
Saccostrea echinata is the source of this 199-nucleotide long non-coding RNA. RefSeq lists it as uncharacterized. The transcript is spliced from 4 exons. Lineage: Eukaryota; Metazoa; Mollusca; Bivalvia; Ostreida; Ostreidae. The record is from RefSeq and is a predicted model, not a curated record.